This 591-nucleotide ribosomal RNA is filed under the name uncultured bacterium. RNAcentral's name for it is "bacterial SSU rRNA". It matches the Rfam family "Bacterial small subunit ribosomal RNA", at positions 102 to 694 of the family's 1533-position model. The record is from RNAcentral.
ACGGGUGCGUAACACGUGAGCGACCUGCCGAUCCGCGGGGGAUAGCCGGCCCAACGGCCGGGUAAUACCGCAUACGCUCUAUUGCCUGCAUGGGCGGUAGAGGAAACCUCCGGGGCGGAUCGAGGGGCUCGCGGCCUAUCAGCUAGUUGGUGGGGUAACGGCUCACCAAGGCGACGACGGGUAGCUGGUCUGAGAGGAUGGCCAGCCACAUUGGGACUGAGAAACGGCCCAGACUCCUACGGGAGGCAGCAGUGGGGAAUAUUGCGCAAUGGCCGAAAGGCUGACGCAGCGACGCCGCGUGUGGGAUGAAGCUCUUCGGGGUGUAAACCACUGUUGCCCGGGACGAACAGCCUGAUUUAUCGGGCCUGACAGUACCGGGUGAGGAAGCACCGGCUAACUCCGUGCCAGCAGCCGCGGUAAUACGGAGGGUGCGAGCGUUGUCCGGAAUCACUGGGCGUAAAGGGCGCGUAGGCGGCUCGGCAAGUCUGCGGUGAAAGCCCGGGGCUCAACCCCGGGUCGGCCGUGGAUACUUUCGAGCUUGAGCACUGUAGAGGCAGGCGGAAUUCCGGGUGUAGCGGUGGAAUGCGUAGA